GGGGAUGCUAGGCAUCGACGGUGAGUCGUGCUGAUUGUGUGCAGUGUCGAAAAUGACUCCCCUUCGUUAAGCGAGUCACUCAGUACGUGCAAACAAAUCCGUACCAAGUCCUUACGCUAACGCGUUUGGAUUCGCUCCCGCUUUCGCGUAAAUAACGCCAGCCGGACCGAUGCGAGUACCGUAAACGUCUCAUACACGGUACCUCGUAAAAUAGCCACGAGACUGUGGAAGUCUGCGCCGUUGUCGUAGACUUUCGAGCUUGUAACAACUCGGGAUCUAACUGUCUUGGAUAUUCUCUAGGUUAGACACUUAAAUCAAAGAAUGCCCUACGCACUGUAGAUUCAUAAUCACACCCUCAUUCGGACGCGGAUUCAAUUUCCGCCAUCUCCAC
Molecule: transfer-messenger RNA, 391 nt
Filed under: Minisyncoccota bacterium
Lineage: Bacteria; Bacillati; Minisyncoccota
Rfam family: transfer-messenger RNA
About the family: Bacterial tmRNA, also known as 10Sa RNA or SsrA, is named for its dual tRNA and mRNA-like properties.
Source: RNAcentral